UUUUCCUUGCUGUUUUCCUUGCUGCAUCCCCUUUGCCAGGUUGCUGCACUGUGGGAUCCACUGCUUGAGGCUUCGUUUGGCUGCUGGCUGAGCUUUCUGCCUUUGGCUCUGUGAUGGGAUGAUGAGCUGCUUGUGCGUAAAAUCGUAUCCCCUCAGAGUUUGUUCAAGUCCACAAACCUCUGUCUGUGACGGAGCCCCUCAGACAUGGCUACUCUAGUCACUAGCAGAUUCCGACAGUGGUUGCUUUCGUAAUCGCUUCCAACAUAAAAGCUCCUUAACGGAAACACGUCUUCUGGAAUCUCUGCGUGACAGUUUCCGGCGAGGAGUGGGUGUUCUUACAGGAGGUCCUGAAACUUCCCCACUGUUUUCGCUGGAAGUGUCUCUGAGCCAUCCCUCCAGCUCAGCUCCUCUCCCCUGCUGGUUCCCUCUUCAGCUGCUGCGUCUCUCCCAACCUGUGUGAGCCCUUUCACCUCCCUGUUGGUUCCCUCUUCCGCUGCUGCGUCUCUCCCAACCUGUGUGAGCCCUUUCACCUCCCUUCCGUCCGAUGGCAGUUCCCUGACAUCCACCUCCCCUCCAGGGCCCCCUUCACCCCCUCUCGCCCCCUCCUCUACGGGCGGUGAGGAGGCAAAACCCCGGAAUGAACUUCCUUCAUCUUCCGAUGUCUCGAACACUUCUCUCAACCUGUUGCGGUUCCUGGUCUCGAAGUACACCUCCUCCUCAGAGUCCAUCUCCCCUUCCCCUUCCGAGUCCGGGAAUCCUUCCAACUCCUCCCCUUCAUCAGUGGUCCCAAAGUAUUCCCUCCGGAACCUCUCCACAGGCUGAGGUUUCCUUGGGAACCUUUGAUGGAACGUUUCUAUCAAUACCUCGUCAUUGAUAUCUUCAGCCAUUACCCAAGUGUUUUCUGACUCCGGUUCUCCUUCCCACGCUACCAAAUACUCCACCUGAUCCCCCUUCCACCUGGCGUCGAGGAUUUCUGCCACAUGGCUGCUGCAUUCUCUUUCUUCUACGACCGGUCCCCGAGGGGCCAGCCCUUCUCGUCCCCCUUCGUACGGUGACAGUAACGACCUGUGAAAUACUGGGUGCAGUUUCAUGUGGUUGGGUAACCGGAGCCUGAAAGCCACUGGGUUGACCUGUUGAAUGACCUCAAAGGGACCCAACCUCCUGGGUCUUAAUUUCUUACAACCUCCUUUGACCGGCAACCCUUGGGUUGACAGCCACACCCUAUCUCCCACCCUUAUGGUUUCACCUUCCCUUCGGUUCUUGUCUGCCUGCCUCUUGUAUUCUUCCUUCGCCCUUUCUAAGUUGAGUUGGAGCUGACGAUGGAUUGCUUCCAUUUCUUCCACAAAAUGCUCGGCUGCCGGGACGCUCCAUCUCUCCCCCUCUCCCCUGGGAAAGCCCUGGGAUGACACCCAUAAUUAGCCAAGAAGGGCUCAUCCCUGUGGACACAUUCUCGGCAUUGUUGUAGGCAAAUUCCGCCAGCGCCAACUUUUCUACCCAGUCAUUCUCUCUGUCAUUGACAUAACACCUCAGGUAUUGCUGGAGGACACCGUUUGCUCUUUCCGCCUGCCCGUUGGUUUCAGGGUGCCGGGCAGUCGAAAAAUUGACCUCCACCUGCAGUAAGCUCAUGAGCUUCCUCCAGAACCUGGAAGUAAAUUGUUUUCCUCGGUCUGAGACCACCCUCAAUGGCACCCCGUGCAACCUAAAAAUGUUUUCUACAAAUAACUUCGCUGUCUCUUCCGCCGUGACUGCAUGCGAGCAAGCUACAAAGUGGCACAUCUUUGUUAGUAGGUCUACCACCACCAUGAUGGCUGUUUUCCCUUGGACUUCGGCAGAUCAGUCAUAAAAUCUAUCGACACUGCCUCCCAAGGUCGUUCUGGGGUUGGUAAGGGUUCUAAUAGCCCCGCCGGCGCCCGCCUUUCCCCUUUGGCUCGCUGGCAUUGCUCGCACCCUCUUACAUACUCACGUACAUCUUCCCUCACCUUAGGCCACCAAAAUUCCCUGGUGACCAACCACAUGGUUUUGUGUUGUCCAAAAUGCCCCGCCGUAGGGCUGUCGUGCAACUGCUUGAGUACCCCCCCCCUUAACUCUCCUUCAGGGAUAUACAGUGCCCCUUUGUAAUACAAAGCUCCAUUUCUUUCCUCAAAACCCCCUGGUUCCUCUCCAUCACCCCUAAGACCUCUGAGCUUAUUCUGGGCGUAUUCAUCAUUCUCUGUUUCCUCUACCAGUUCUCUUUGUCCCACCAAUGCCGCCCCACACACCCAGCGGUCUUCUGGAAUGACAUGUCUCUCUUCGGUGCCCUCCCCUCCAAAUAUUCAGGUUUGCGUGAGAGAGCGUCCGCCCUAAUGUUCUCUGGGCCUGGCACGUAACUAAUCUCAAAGUUAAAUUUGGAGAACUCCUGGGCCCAUCUCACUUGCCGUUGGUUGAGCACUCGUGCCGUCCUCCAAUACUCUAGGUUCUUGUGGUCAGUGCACACUUGCACCUUAUGUUGUGCGCCAAUUAGCAGGUGCCUCCAUCUCCGGAACGCCUCAUGAAUGGCUAGUAAUUCUCGGUCAUACACCGUGUAGUUCCUCUCGGAUUUGUUCAGCUUUCGCGAAAAAAAAGGCACACGGUCUCCACUCUGACCCCUUCUUGCCUGGCUGCAGAAGCACCGCCCCAAUCGCUCUGUCUGAUGCGUCAGUUUCCACUCUCAUCGGUUUUUGUAAAUCCACAUGCAGGAGUUGUUGUUCCGAGGCGAAGGCCCUUUUAGUUCCUCAAAUGCUCGCUCCGCCUCCUCAGUCCACACGAACUUCUUCUUACUGCUGAGACAGUCCGUAAUGGGCGCCGUCAGGUGGGCAAAGUUUCGGAUGAACUUACGAUAGAAGUUCCCAAAUCCUAGGAACCUCUGCACAUCCUUCUUUGUUUUGGGUGUUUUCCAUUCCAGCACCGCCUGGACCUUGCCGGGAUCCAUGGCCAAUCCUUUGUCUGACAGGCGAUACCCCAGGAAUUCCACCUCCUUGGUAUGAAACUGACACUUCUCCAGUUUCACCCACAGCUGGUUGGCUUGCAGCCUGCUCAACACUUCUCUGACGUCUCUCACAUGCUGCUCCUCAUUCUCAGAAUACACCAACACGUCGUCUAAAAGGCCACACAAUUCUUGUAAAGCAAAGGCCCCAGGACGUGGUUCAUAAACGAUUGAAAUGUUGCGGAGCCUGCUUGUAGGCCGAAGGGCAUAACCAAAUAUUCAAAUGCCCCUAACGGGGUGAACAUAGUGGUUUUCCAUUCAUCCCCCUUCCUUAUUCGUACCAGGUUGUACGCCCCCCUUAGGUCCAGCUUUGUGAAAAUCUUUCCCUUCCGCACCCUUGUCAAAAUGUCGUCAAUCCUGGGCAUAGGGAAGGCUACUGGUUCUGACACUGCAUUUAAGGCCCUGAAGUCACACACCAGCCUCGGCUUGUUCGUGUUUUUCUUAUCCACAAAAACACUGGGCUGCCCCCACCGCCCUGGACUCUCUGAUGAACCCUCUCUUCAGGUUCUUGUCAAUGAACUCUCUUAACUCCUGCAUCUCUCUGUCUGACAUGGCGUACAGCUUGCCUACAGGGAGCUGUGCUCCAGGGAGUAAGUUGAUUUGACAGUCAAAGGGUCUAUGCGGGGGUAGUUGGUCAGCUUCCCUUUCGCUGAAGACGUCACGGAGAUCUGCAUAUUGUCGUGGUACCUUCACGUUCUCUGUUACUUCAGUCCCUGCUAGGGUGGCUUGGACCCCUGCCAAACCCUUUCCCUCUUUGCAGUGUUCUAAGCAAUGUGCUGAACCAAAAGAAACCACUCUCUGAUGCCAGCCCACCAGCGGAUCAUGUAACGCUAGCCAGCUCACCCCCAAUAUAAUGGGAGCUCCUCCCAAGGUGGCCACAUUAAAAGCUAUCAGUUCGGUGUGCCUUGCUACCUUCAUUAUCAUUGGGACGGUCUGCAAGCUGACUUCUCCACCCAACAGCUCCCUGCCAUCGAUAGUGGUCACCUGCAGGGGGCUGCUUAAAGGAUUGUCUGUAUCUGGUGUUCAGCUGCAAACUCUUUGCUCAUGAAAUUGCAGGAGCUGCCUGAGUCCAACAGCGCCUUUAUCUUUAGAGGGUGUCCGUUUGGCAGCUCUAGCGUCACUUCUAUCACUAGGGCGGGUUUAGGAGGUUCUGGCGUGGGCACUCUCACUGCUCUUUGGCCUGGCUGCUGUGCCCUGACAGUGGCAGCCAGGCGUUGGCUUUACUUGCUCCGGUAUAUUUUCCUCUCUUCCAUCCACAGCUCCUACCAUCCCUUGCCAUUCUUUCCUCUGGGGGCAGACUCUGGCAAAGUGACCUGGCUGUUGGCAGAGAUAGCAUUUCCGGGCGCCUUUUCCCUCCUUCUUUGCCCCCUCACUGGGCUUUGAAACUGCGCGCGCGCGCUGUUCCGAUUUCCAUCGGCUCUGCCGGUGGGAAAGUUGGCUCUGGAAUGUUUGGAAUGCGGAACUCCUUCCAACGUUCCCCUUUCCCUUCCCGCCUCUCCAAUGCUCUCGCCUCCUGGCGCGCUCCUAUGGCCAGCGCUGAUUUGGUCAGCUGGUCCAUAGACUCCGCCCUGGGCGCCCGGGAAAGUUCGUCUUUCACAGCCGAAGAAAGCCCUUCUUCAAAGAGCAUCUGAAUGGGUUCCGCCGAUAAGUCCCACCCCAAUCUGUGAACAAGCAUGGUGAACUCAGUCCAGUACUCACGGACAGAUCGGCUCCCCUGUUUGCAACCCAUUAACUGUCUGCUCACCACUCCCUUUUCAAUAUCGCUGGAAAACAUCAGAUCCAUGGCGCGAAAGAACUUCAUCGUGUCCUUUAAGACGUCACUAUUAGCUGCCAUCAGGGGUCUAACCCAGUCUCUCGCCCCCUUUUCAAGAUGCUCAAUCACGAAAGCCACUCGUGAUUCCUCGUCAGGGAAUUCAUCAAACUGCAGAUUGAGGGCAUAUUGCAUUUCUGUCCGAAAACCAUGAUAGGUUUUGGGCUCCCCCAAACUUCUGCACCAAUCCUGGUACCUUUCUGGCAAACUGGGUGGCUUUCCCCCUUUGUCUGCAUCCUGAGCCCUCCUCUCCUCAAGCCUCGCCGUCUGCAUCGCUAGCUGGACCUCCAACAUCUGGUACCUUUCUUCCAGGCUUGGACCCGCUCCAGCUCCUGCUUCUCCGGUUCCGGCUGGGUUGCUCAUGAUGCCUUCUCCUGCACAAGCUGCUUUCAAAGACUGUCGGAAUGCUGUGAUGGGAUGAUGAGCUGCUUGUGCGUAAAAUCGUAUCCCCUCAGAGUUUGUUCAAGUCCACAAACCUCUGUCUGUGACGGAGCCCCUCAGACAUGGCUACUCUAGUCACUAGCAGAUUCCGACAGUGGUUGCUUUCGUAAUCGCUUCCAACAUAAAAGCUCCUUAACGGAAACACGUCUUCUGGAAUCUCUGCGUGACAGUUUCCGGCGAGGAGUGGGUGUUCUUACAGGAGGUCCUGAAACUUCCCCACUGUUUUCGCUGGAAGUGUCUCUGAGCCAUCCCUCCAGCUCAGCUCCUCUCCCCCUGCUGGUUCCCUCUUCAGCUGCUGCGUCUCUCCCAACCUGUGUGAGCCCUUUCACCUCCCUGUUGGUUCCCUCUUCCGCUGCUGCGUCUCUCCCAACCUGUGUGAGCCCUUUCACCUCCCUUCCGUCCGAUGGCAGUUCCCUGACAGGCUCGGAGGGGCUCAGAAGUUGAACAUACCUGUGCUGGGAAAAUCCCUUAUUUUGGCUGCUGAUCCCUUAUUUUUGAGGCUGCUGGUCCCUUAUUUUCAAAUCUGUAAGUUGACAGCUAUGGCCCAUCUUCAGUUUUUCUUUAACGUCAGAGACGUCCCUUUCCCAGAGAAUUGUUCUCUGCCUUCCACUGGUGUCGUUAGGGGAAACCAAAAUCUGUCAGCCUGUGCAGUUUGCAUCAUGGUUUUGUUCCCACUGAGAAUGACGCUUGAGAGUGGUCUUCGCCGAGUUAAUAAACUUGCAACUCUGCUAUGCCGCUUAAUAAAUACUUGCAUGACCAGAUGCACGUCCUCUAUAUUAAAAGAAGUUCUUUGCACUUAGAAAAAUAGCAUUUCAGGGAUGAGGUGAGGAUGAAAUGCUGCUUUUAUGCUCUCU
RNAcentral lists this long non-coding RNA (6106 nucleotides) under Podarcis lilfordi (Lilford's wall lizard). Lineage: Eukaryota; Metazoa; Chordata; Lepidosauria; Squamata; Lacertidae. The record is from RNAcentral.